RNAcentral lists this ribosomal RNA (478 nucleotides) under uncultured bacterium. RNAcentral's name for it is "bacterial SSU rRNA". It matches the Rfam family "Bacterial small subunit ribosomal RNA", at positions 364 to 832 of the family's 1533-position model. The record is from RNAcentral.
UUUCGCAAUGCCCGAAAGGGUGACGAAGCGACGCCGCGUGUGGGAAGAAGGCCUUCGGGUUGUAAACCACUGUCGGGAGUUAGGAAAUGCAGGUGCGUUAAUAGCGCACUUGCUUGACUAAGGCUCCAGAGGAAGCCACGGCUAACUCUGUGCCAGCAGCCGCGGUAAUACAGAGGCGGCAAGCGUUGUUCGGAAUUAUUGGGCGUAAAGAGCACGUAGGCGGCCCUGCAAGUCAGUUGUGAAAGCCUUCCGCUUAACGGAAGAACGGCAUCUGAUACUACAGGGCUUGAGUACGGGAGGGGAGAGUGGAACUUCUGGUGGAGCGGUGAAAUGCGUAGAUAUCAGAAGGAACGCCGGCGGCGAAAGCGACUCUCUGGUCCGAAACUGACGCUGAGUGUGCGAAAGCUAGGGGAGCAAACGGGAUUAGAUGCCCCGGUAGUCCUAGCCGUAAACGAUGGGCACUAAGUAGAGGGGUUUU